RNAcentral lists this microRNA (24 nucleotides) under Brachypodium distachyon (stiff brome). RNAcentral's name for it is "bdi-miR7780-3p". The record is from miRBase by way of RNAcentral. Lineage: Eukaryota; Viridiplantae; Streptophyta; Magnoliopsida; Poales; Poaceae.
GUAGGGACCUUGCUGAAGACGUUU